This 2515-nucleotide ribosomal RNA is filed under the name Salmonella enterica subsp. enterica serovar Typhimurium. RNAcentral describes it as "partial 23S ribosomal RNA". It matches the Rfam family "Bacterial large subunit ribosomal RNA", at positions 558 to 2866 of the family's 2925-position model. Lineage: Bacteria; Pseudomonadati; Pseudomonadota; Gammaproteobacteria; Enterobacterales; Enterobacteriaceae. The record is from RNAcentral.
GUGUACGUACAAGCAGUGGGAGCCCCACCACUAAGCCAGUGGUGAACUCCACAUCCGCAUCCUUUGCUGAGGAUACGGUUAACGGAGCGAAAGCGACGUUCAACCGCAAAACAAGCAGAGGGGGCUUAGUGGUGGGGUGACUGCGUACCUUUUGUAUAAUGGGUCAGCGACUUAUAUUCUGUAGCAAGGUUAACCGUAUAGGGGAGCCGGAGGGAAACCGAGUCUUAAUUGGGCGUUAAGUUGCAGGGUAUAGACCCGAAACCCGGUGAUCUAGCCAUGGGCAGGUUGAAGGUUGGGUAACACUAACUGGAGGACCGAACCGACUAAUGUUGAAAAAUUAGCGGAUGACCUGUGGCUGGGGGUGAAAGGCCAAUCAAACCGGGAGAUAGCUGGUUCUCCCCGAAAGCUAUUUAGGUAGCGCCUCGUGAAUUCAUCUCCGGGGGUAGAGCACUGUUUCGGCUAGGGGGCCAUCCCGGCUUACCAACCCGAUGCAAACUGCGAAUACCGGAGAAUGUUAUCACGGGAGACACACGGCGGGUGCUAACGUCCGUCGUGAAGAGGGAAACAACCCAGACCGCCAGCUAAGGUCCCAAAGUCAUGGUUAAGUGGGAAACGAUGUGGGAAGGCCCAGACAGCCAGGAUGUUGGCUUAGAAGCAGCCAUCAUUUAAAGAAAGCGUAAUAGCUCACUGGUCGAGUCGGCCUGCGCGGAAGAUGUAACGGGGCUAAACCAUGCACCGAAGCUGCGGCAGCGAACGUAUCACCCAAGACAACUUUACGGAGUUGACGAUUGACGGAGCGAAGCGACGUCAAAGCGUUCAUUAAAGUCGAGUUGGCUUAGGGAUACGUUCGUUGGGUAGGGGAGCGUUCUGUAAGCCUGUGAAGGUGUGUCGUGAGGCAUGCUGGAGGUAUCAGAAGUGCGAAUGCUGACAUAAGUAACGAUAAAGCGGGUGAAAAGCCCGCUCGCCGGAAGACCAAGGGUUCCUGUCCAACGUUAAUCGGGGCAGGGUGAGUCGACCCCUAAGGCGAGGCCGAAAGGCGUAGUCGAUGGGAAACGGGUUAAUAUUCCCGUACUUGGUGUUACUGCGAAGGGGGGACGGAGAAGGCUAUGUUGGCCGGGCGACGGUUGUCCCGGUUUAAGCGUGUAGGUGUGUGUUCCAGGUAAAUCCGGUUCACUUUAACACUGAGGCGUGACGACGAGGCACUACGGUGCUGAAGCAACAAAUGCCCUGCUUCCAGGAAAAGCCUCUAAGCAUCAGGUAACACGAAAUCGUACCCCAAACCGACACAGGUGGUCAGGUAGAGAAUACCAAGGCGCUUGAGAGAACUCGGGUGAAGGAACUAGGCAAAAUGGUGCCGUAACUUCGGGAGAAGGCACGCUGACACGUAGGUGAAGUGAUUUACUCAUGGAGCUGAAGUCAGUCGAAGAUACCAGCUGGCUGCAACUGUUUAUUAAAAACACAGCACUGUGCAAACACGAAAGUGGACGUAUACGGUGUGACGCCUGCCCGGUGCCGGAAGGUUAAUUGAUGGGGUCAGCGUAAGCGAAGCUCCUGAUCGAAGCCCCGGUAAACGGCGGCCGUAACUAUAACGGUCCUAAGGUAGCGAAAUUCCUUGUCGGGUAAGUUCCGACCUGCACGAAUGGCGUAAUGAUGGCCAGGCUGUCUCCACCCGAGACUCAGUGAAAUUGAACUCGCUGUGAAGAUGCAGUGUACCCGCGGCAAGACGGAAAGACCCCGUGAACCUUUACUAUAGCUUGACACUGAACAUUGAGCCUUGAUGUGUAGGAUAGGUGGGAGGCUUUGAAGUGUGGACGCCAGUCUGCAUGGAGCCGACCUUGAAAUACCACCCUUUAAUGUUUGAUGUUCUAACGUGGACCCGUAAUCCGGGUUGCGGACAGUGUCUGGUGGGUAGUUUGACUGGGGCGGUCUCCUCCUAAAGAGUAACGGAGGAGCACGAAGGUUGGCUAAUCCUGGUCGGACAUCAGGAGGUUAGUGCAAUGGCAUAAGCCAGCUUGACUGCGAGCGUGACGGCGCGAGCAGGUGCGAAAGCAGGUCAUAGUGAUCCGGUGGUUCUGAAUGGAAGGGCCAUCGCUCAACGGAUAAAAGGUACUCCGGGGAUAACAGGCUGAUACCGCCCAAGAGUUCAUAUCGACGGCGGUGUUUGGCACCUCGAUGUCGGCUCAUCACAUCCUGGGGCUGAAGUAGGUCCCAAGGGUAUGGCUGUUCGCCAUUUAAAGUGGUACGCGAGCUGGGUUUAGAACGUCGUGAGACAGUUCGGUCCCUAUCUGCCGUGGGCGCUGGAGAACUGAGGGGGGCUGCUCCUAGUACGAGAGGACCGGAGUGGACGCAUCACUGGUGUUCGGGUUGUCAUGCCAAUGGCACUGCCCGGUAGCUAAAUGCGGAAGAGAUAAGUGCUGAAAGCAUCUAAGCACGAAACUUGCCCCGAGAUGAGUUCUCCCUGAGACUUAGAGUCUCCUGAAGGAACGUUGAAGACGACGACGUUGAUAGGCCGGGU